Non-coding RNA from Lactuca sativa (garden lettuce), 1790 nucleotides. Lineage: Eukaryota; Viridiplantae; Streptophyta; Magnoliopsida; Asterales; Asteraceae. The record is from RefSeq and is a predicted model, not a curated record.
UCUGAAUUCUUUCUCAACACGCAACACCUCCUAUACUUACCUCACCACCUUCUACCAAUGCUACAAACCUCUGCAUCGUCUUCUCUCUCUUCAUCUCUCUCCGUCUCUCUGAAGAAAACCACCACCUCUAAACCACGUGACCUUAACCACAACAGAGGAACUCUCAACACCGCCAGCAUUAACCUUCUUCCCUCAACUCUGUCGGCUCUCUCUCUCUCUCUCUCUCUCUCUCUCUCCCUGAAAUUCUUUCUUGCACACUUCUUUUAUCCCUCUUUAAGAAACUUUACCUCUCAUGUGCUUAGAUUGAGUGCGAGAGGGUGAGUGAUGGGAGGUGAUAGGUGAGGUAAGGUUAGAUCUAUUGCUUCUAAUGGCGGUGGUUGUAGUGGGUCGUGAUGGUGGUGAUGGAAAUUGUAAAUCGUGGCGAUGAAGAUGAUGGUAGCAUCAAUGUUGAGGGAUGAUUUUGGUGGCUGAAUUUUAGAGAGAUGUAAGAGGAAUGGGGAAAUCUCGUCUCUUACGAUUGUUGCUUGACGACCUCACAACUCCGAUUUCCCCCAAUAGCUUCUCAUUAUCUUUGGCUCCAUGAUAGGUAAUAAUUUUUUCAAAUCAACUUUUGUAUCUUUGAUGACAGGGGGAGUUCGAUGGUGCUCAUGCUUUGAACGGACUAAAGUUCAUCACCAAAGGGCGAUAAUUGAUUCCUCACGAAAUCGAGGGUGUAGUAGAGUUGACAUUUUGACGAUCUAGAAGAAAAUUUUCCAACGCUUCAGGUGGUAAAGUGCUUCCAUUCCAUCAUUUAGGGUUGGAAGAUUACAUUGAGCCCCUCGAGUUGUACUUUAAUAGAUGCGUAGAGGUAACUUUUUUCUACAAUUCGUUUAUGGAAAUCUGUAUUCAAGUGUCAUGUGUAUUUAUUAACUAUUCAAACAAUAUCUAUUUGAUAUAAUAGUUAAUAAUGACUUUCAAAUUAUCAUGGCAGACAGGUAAAAUAUAUUGGUUUCUUCAGGUAUGAUUUGGUUUGGAUGUGCUUUCAAAUUUCAAAUUAAGAGAUAAAUUUAGGGUUUCAAAAGAAGAGAUUAAAUUUUUGAGAAAGCCCAUAUUUGGUUUUGGUGAUUUUGUAGCUUGGAAGAGGUUUCAAACUACUCAGUUUCAUGGAGUAGCUGGCAUAAACUUCAAAAUUUUCAGUUGUUGUAAUUACUACUACUACCACUACCAAGGAGAAAUCGCCUAUCUCAAUUUUUGGAUCUGAUCUAAAACUUUACCAAGUGGUCCUUCUUUGGAUCCUUCCGGUUCUGCCAUGGCAUUUUUGUUUGUGACAUAGAUUGCAUGGAAGUUGUUUAUCAGGCAGCCCAAAGAUCAUCCAAAAGAAAAUCGUAUGAUAAGUUCAUAUUUCAAGGAUGGAUUGUAGGAAUUAAAGUUCAGUUUGCCCUUUAAGACCAUUUGAAGAUGAGUGCAUUCUUUGUUCAUGUUCAAAUUUAUGAAUAAUUAUAAUAAUAAUAAUAAUAUUUAUUGGCUUUUAGUACCCAAUGUAUUUUGGAAGGAGAUAGGGUUAAGAAGGUCAUUGUUAAUGAAUUAAUUCACAUGGAUUUGAUUACUAUAAACAAAUCACAUGGACCAAAACUAUACUAUACUCAUUUUGUUAUAAACGACACUGAUUCUAACUCAACAAAUUUCGAUGGGAAGAAUAAAGGUAACUUGGGCAAUGCACUCUAUUUAUUACCAUAAGAUUAUUAGUAAAAAUGAAAAGUACGUUGCUUUUUUAGGUAAGAUAUUACAAGUGGGUGAAACUUGAAUUGCAA